Molecule: long non-coding RNA, 609 nt
Filed under: Sorghum bicolor (sorghum)
Lineage: Eukaryota; Viridiplantae; Streptophyta; Magnoliopsida; Poales; Poaceae
Description: long non-coding RNA (SBIC_LNC004618)
Source: RNAcentral
UUGGAGUUUUUGUAUAUUUUUGAAAAAAGAAAUUUAGCAUACCUUUAUCCUCAUAGGUUCUCUCAGAUCACUCAUUUAUCUUUUGUGUAUCUUACUGAGGCUGUUUUAAUUUGCAGAAAUUCUCAAGCAUACUUACCUUUCAUUUAUUGCCUAAUCAAAACGGGAUCCGAGGAGAUGAAUGCCAUACUCUUAGAUCAAAGACUUUGGAAAUUAAAAACUUAUCAACUCUUACUGGCAUAUUGCUUAUUAGAGGGACCAUGGGCUAUCAUUUUCUUUCUCUUCUUCUUUUUUUUCUAGUGGAUAUCGGGGUACCCCUAAUUCUACUACCGGACACUUGUCCAUUUUUUUUCUGCGAGGUUGUCGAGCACUUGCUCCUUUUUAUUUCCUCUAAAUAUUCAUAUUUUUGCAUUGCCCAUGCCUCUAAUGCAAUAAUACUUCAGAAGAGUGAAUUUUUCUGAAUAAAUGUCUUGAUCUUAGGAGCAUGAUAAAUCUCUCAACAAGGGUCUAACUCGUUUUGAACAAACUCAAUAUAGAGCAGAUAACUUUUAUAAUUAUCAUCAUUAAUAUUUUCAGAUUUAGCAGGCAUAUAAAACACUGAGGAUGGUAGCU